This 446-nucleotide ribosomal RNA is filed under the name uncultured bacterium. RNAcentral's name for it is "partial 16S ribosomal RNA". It matches the Rfam family "Bacterial small subunit ribosomal RNA", at positions 338 to 795 of the family's 1533-position model. The record is from RNAcentral.
CCUACGGGUGGCAGCAGUCGAGAAUCAUUCACAAUGGGGGAAACCCUGAUGGUGCGACGCCGCGUGGGGGAAUGAAGGUCUUCGGAUUGUAAACCCCUGUCAUGUGGGAGCAAAUUAAAAAGAUAGUACCACAAGAGGAAGAGACGGCUAACUCUGUGCCAGCAGCCGCGGUAAUACAGAGGUCUCAAGCGUUGUUCGGAAUCACUGGGCGUAAAGUGUGCGUAGGCUGUUUCGUAAGUCGGGUGUGAAAGGCGCGGGCUCAACCCGCGGACGGCACAUGAUACUGCGAGACUAGAGUAAUGGAGGGGGAACCGGAAUUCUCGGUGUAGCAGUGAAAUGCGUAGAUAUCGGGAGGAACACUCGUGGCGAAGGCGGGUUCCUGGACAUUAACUGACGCUGAGGCACGAAGGCCAGGGGAGCGAAAGGGAUUAGAUACCCUUGUAGUC